This 445-nucleotide ribosomal RNA is filed under the name uncultured bacterium. RNAcentral's name for it is "partial 16S ribosomal RNA". It matches the Rfam family "Bacterial small subunit ribosomal RNA", at positions 354 to 796 of the family's 1533-position model. The record is from RNAcentral.
GUGAGGAAUAUUGGUCAAUGGGCGGGAGCCUGAACCAGCCAAGUCGCGUGAAGGAAGAAGGAUCUAUGGUUCGUAAACUUCUUUUGCAGGGGAAUAAAGUGCAGGACGUGUCCUGUUUUGUAUGUACCCUGAGAAUAAGGAUCGGCUAACUCCGUGCCAGCAGCCGCGGUAAUACGGAGGAUCCGAGCGUUAUCCGGAUUUAUUGGGUUUAAAGGGUGCGUAGGUGGUUUGAUAAGUCAGCGGUGAAAGGUUGCAGCUUAACUGUAAAAAUGCCGUUGAAACUGUCGGACUUGAGUGUAAAUGAGGUAGGCGGAAUGCGUGGUGUAGCGGUGAAAUGCAUAGAUAUCACGCAGAACUCCGAUUGCGAAGGCAGCUUACUAAGCUACAACUGACACUGAAGCACGAAAGCGUGGGGAUCAAACAGGAUUAGAAACCCUGGUAGUCC